This 926-nucleotide ribosomal RNA is filed under the name Aporcelaimellus obtusicaudatus. Its description in RNAcentral is "SSU rRNA". It matches the Rfam family "Eukaryotic small subunit ribosomal RNA", at positions 39 to 966 of the family's 1831-position model. Lineage: Eukaryota; Metazoa; Nematoda; Enoplea; Dorylaimida; Aporcelaimidae. The record is from RNAcentral.
AAAGAUUAAGCCAUGCAUGUCUAAGCACAUGCCUUAAUACGGUGAAGCCGCGAAUAGCUCAUUACAACAGCCACCGUUUACUAGAAUAUAGUUAUCCUACUUGGAUAACUGUGGCAAUUCUAGAGCUAAUACAUGCAAAAAAGCUCUGCCCGCAAGGAACGAGCGCAUUUAUUAGAAUAAAAACCAAUCGGGUUUCGGCCCGUAAUUUGGUGAAUCUGAAUAACUUUGCCAAUCGCACAGUCCUAGUACUGGCGAUGUAUCUUUCAAGUAUCUGCCUUAUCAACUUUCGAUGGUAGGUUAUACGCCUACCAUGGUAGUAACGGGUAACGGAGAAUAAGGGUUCGACUCCGGAGAGGGAGCCUGGGAAACGGCUACCACAUCCAAGGAAGGCAGCAGGCGCGCAAAUUACCCACUUCCAGAACGGAGAGGUAGUGACGAAAAAUAACGAGACAGUCCUCUUCGAGGUCUGUCAUCGGAAUGGGUACAAUUUAAAUCCUUUAACGAGGAUCUAUUGGAGGGCAAGUCUGGUGCCAGCAGCCGCGGUAAUUCCAGCUCCAAUAGCGUAUAUUAAAGUUGUUGCGGUUAAAACGCUCGUAGUUGGAUCUGCGGCCUCGGAGAACGGUCCCCCGAAAGGGUGGUCACUGUCUCUCCUAGCCUAAAUUCGAGUCGUCUCUAGGUGCUCUUUACCGAGUGCUUAGAGUGACUAGAACGUUUACUUUGAAAAAAUUAGAGUGCUUAAAGCAGGCGAAAUAGCCUGAAUAAGGUGCAUGGAAUAAUGGAAUAGGACCUCGGUUCUAUUUUGUUGGUUUUCGGAACCCGAGGUAAUGAUUAAGAGGAACAGACGGGGGCAUUCGUAUUCCGGCGCUAGAGGUGAAAUUCUUGGACCGUAGAGAGACGCCCUACUGCGAAAGCAUUUGCCAAGAAUG